RNAcentral lists this long non-coding RNA (294 nucleotides) under Musa acuminata (dwarf banana). Its description in RNAcentral is "long non-coding RNA (MACU_LNC010873)". Lineage: Eukaryota; Viridiplantae; Streptophyta; Magnoliopsida; Zingiberales; Musaceae. The record is from RNAcentral.
CCACAAUUGCUUAAAAGAUCGUCGCCAAAUUCCGCCAUCAUCUCCACCACCGCGGAUCAUCCCGUGAAUUGCAACAGGUUCUGGUUUCCUACCUUACUACUAUUGUAAUUUAGUUAUCCCUAUCCGAAAAUCCAAAACAAAAAAAAAAUUGUUCCUAUAUUCUGCAUAAACUUUCGUCACAAAGUUUUCAUCUCUACAACAAAAGAUACAUUGCAGAAUUUCAGCCGCAUAACACUGUUUGUUUGAUCUUGAUACUAUAUUUUCUCUGAUAUUACUGUCAAUCCCCUCUUCAAA